Long non-coding RNA from Archocentrus centrarchus (flier cichlid), 395 nucleotides. RefSeq lists it as uncharacterized. The transcript has 4 exons. Lineage: Eukaryota; Metazoa; Chordata; Actinopteri; Cichliformes; Cichlidae. The record is from RefSeq and is a predicted model, not a curated record.
AACCUCUCAGAGAGAAGCUGUGAAGCUCUGUCCUCAGUUCUCAGCUCCCAGUCCUCUAGUCUGAGAGAGCUGGACCUGAGUAACAACAACCUGCAGGAUUCAGGACUGAAGCUUCUGUCUGCUGCAGUGCAGAGUCCACAUUGUGUGCUGGAAACUCUCAGUCUGUCAGGCUGUCUGAUCACAGAGGAAGGCUGUACUUCUCUGGCCUCAGCUCUGAGCUCCAACCCAUCCCAUCUGAGAGAGCUGGACCUGAGCUACAAUCAUCCAGGAGACUCAGGAAUGAAGCUGCUGUCGGCCGCACUGAAGGAUCCACGCUGGAGACUGGACACUCUCAGGGCGGAGCCUGCUGGAGUGCGAUGGCUGAGCCCAGGUCUGAGGAAGUAUUCCUGUCAACU